AAAGCAAGAGAAAAUGCCUCUUCAGCAAUGUGGGGGGCUAUCUGAAUAUCAAUAUGGGGUGAUGGGAUCCAGGGCUCUGAUGAGGCCUGAUGGCUGGGACUUCACCAGGAAGCUUUCCUGGGAUGGGCCUUCCACACAGGGACCUUCAUCUUGCCUGCUACAAUGUGGUGCUCUGGACAUCUCUGCAGGGGGACAAGCAGUGUGGAAGACACAAGCUACUUCAGGGGCUAUGAUGACAGGCUGUUGGUCAACUGAUGAAUUAUUGGAAGUCUAUUACUGCAGGAACCAGGGGCCUAUUGUUUUAUGGAUACAAUUCAGGGGACCCAUGUAUUUGGAUGCAGAAAAUCAUCAUUUUAUUUUCAUAACCUCCUUCAUUUAUGGAUGCAGGAAUCAAAAACAUUUGUUAUCAAUACUUAUGACUAUGCUACUCAGAGAAAUCAGAGAUUUUUAAAAUUACAUAUUAAAGUUAUAUAUAUCCAA
Heterocephalus glaber (naked mole-rat) is the source of this 480-nucleotide long non-coding RNA. The record is from Ensembl. NCBI's taxonomy places the organism in Eukaryota, Metazoa, Chordata, Mammalia, Rodentia, Bathyergidae.